GUGUCAGCAGCCGCGGUAAUACGGAGGGGGCGAGCGUUGUUCGGAAUCACUGGGUGUAAAGGGUGCGUAGGCGGUCCGAUAAGUCUGAUGUGAAAGCCCUGGGCUCAACUCAGGAACUGCAUUGGAAACUGACGGACUGGAGUACCGGAGAGGGAAGCGGAAUUCCUGGUGUAGCGGUGAAAUGCGUAGAUACCAGGAGGAACACCGGUGGCGAAGGCGGUUUCCUGGCCGAGUACUGACGCUGAGGCACGAAAGCGUGGGGAGCGAACGGGAUUAGAUACCCCGGUAGUCCACGCUGUAAACGAUGGGUGCUAGGUGUUGGAGGUAUCGACCCCUUCAGUGCCGUAGCUAACGCUUUAAGCACCCCACCUGGGGAGUACGGCCGCAAGGCUAAA
Molecule: ribosomal RNA, 395 nt
Filed under: uncultured bacterium
Lineage: Bacteria
Description: bacterial SSU rRNA
Rfam family: Bacterial small subunit ribosomal RNA
Source: RNAcentral